RNAcentral lists this ribosomal RNA (1372 nucleotides) under uncultured bacterium. RNAcentral's name for it is "bacterial SSU rRNA". It matches the Rfam family "Bacterial small subunit ribosomal RNA", at positions 28 to 1381 of the family's 1533-position model. The record is from RNAcentral.
GAUGAACGCUGGCGGCGUGCCUAAUACAUGCAAGUCGAGCGAACAGACGAGGAGCUUGCUCCUUUGACGUUAGCGGCGGACGGGUGAGUAACACGUGGAUAACCUACCUAUAAGACUGGGAUAACUUCGGGAAACCGGAGCUAAUACCGGAUAACAUGUUGAACCGCAUGGUUCAACAGUGAAAGACGGUCUUGCUGUAACUUAUAGAUGGAUCCGCGCCGCAUUAGCUAGUUGGUAAGGUAACGGCUUACCAAGGCAACGAUGCGUAGCCGACCUGAGAGGGUGAUCGGCCACACUGGAACUGAGACACGGUCCAGACUCCUACGGGAGGCAGCAGUAGGGAAUCUUCCGCAAUGGGCGAAAGCCUGACGGAGCAACGCCGCGUGAGUGAAGAAGGUCUUCGGAUCGUAAAACUCUGUUAUUAGGGAAGAACAAAUGUGUAAGUAACUAUGCACGUCUUGACGGUACCUAAUCAGAAAGCCACGGCUAACUGCGUGCCAGCAGCCGCGGUAAUACGUAGGUGGCAAGCGUUAUCCGGAAUUAUUGGGCGUAAAGCGCGCGUAGGCGGUUUUUUAAGUCUGAUGUGAAAGCCCACGGCUCAACCGUGGAGGGUCAUUGGAAACUGGAAAACUUGAGUGCAGAAGAGGAAAGUGGAAUUCCAUGUGUAGCGGUGAAAUGCGCAGAGAUAUGGAGGAACACCAGUGGCGAAGGCGACUUUCUGGUCUGUAACUGACGCUGAUGUGCGAAAGCGUGGGGAUCAAACAGGAUUAGAUACCCUGGUAGUCCACGCCGUAAACGAUGAGUGCUAAGUGUUAGGGGGUUUCCGCCCCUUAGUGCUGCAGCUAACGCAUUAAGCACUCCGCCUGGGGAGUACGACCGCAAGGUUGAAACUCAAAGGAAUUGACGGGGACCCGCACAAGCGGUGGAGCAUGUGGUUUAAUUCGAAGCGACGCGAAGAACCUUACCAAAUCUUGACAUCCUCUGACCCCUCUAGAGAUAGAGUUUUCCCCUUCGGGGGACAGAGUGACAGGUGGUGCAUGGUUGUCGUCAGCUCGUGUCGUGAGAUGUUGGGUUAAGUCCCGCAACGAGCGCAACCCUUAAGCUUAGUUGCCAUCAUUAAGUUGGGCACUCUAAGUUGACUGCCGGUGACAAACCGGAGGAAGGUGGGGAUGACGUCAAAUCAUCAUGCCCCUUAUGAUUUGGGCUACACACGUGCUACAAUGGACAAUACAAAGGGUAGCGAAACCGCGAGGUCAAGCAAAUCCCAUAAAGUUGUUCUCAGUUCGGAUUGUAGUCUGCAACUCGACUACAUGAAGCUGGAAUCGCUAGUAAUCGUGGAUCAGCAUGCUACGGUGAAUACGUUCCCGGGUCU